Molecule: ribosomal RNA, 752 nt
Filed under: uncultured bacterium
Lineage: Bacteria
Description: bacterial SSU rRNA
Rfam family: Bacterial small subunit ribosomal RNA
Source: RNAcentral
GAUGAACGCUCGUCGGCGUGCCUAACACAUGCAAGUCGAACGGACAUUUUUUGGAAAGCUCUUCGGAACUGGAAUCUAAAUGUUAGUGGCGGACGGGUGAGUAACGCGUGAGCAAUCUGCCUUUCAGAGGGGGAUAACAGCCGGAAACGGCUGCUAAUACCGCAUAAUGCAUUGGAUUCGCAUGUUUCUGAUGCCAAAGAUUUUAUCGCUGAAAGAUGAGCUCGCGUCUGAUUAGCUAGUUGGCGGGGUAACGGCCCACCAAGGCGACGAUCAGUAGCCGGACUGAGAGGUUGAACGGCCACAUUGGGACUGAGACACGGCCCAGACUCCUACGGGAGGCAGCAGUGGGGAAUAUUGCGCAAUGGGGGCAACCCUGACGCAGCAACGCCGCGUGAUUGAUGAAGGUCUACGGAUUGUAAAAAUCUUUAAUCAGGGACGAAGAAAAUGACGGUACCUGAAGAAUAAGCUCCGGCUAACUACGUGCCAGCAGCCGCGGUAAUACGUAGGGAGCAAGCGUUAUCCGGAUUUACUGGGUGUAAAGGGCGUGUAGGCGGGCUUGCAAGUUGGAAGUGAAAUCUCGGGGCUUAACCCCGAAACUGCUUUCAAAACUGCGAGUCUUGAGUGAUGGAGAGGCAGGCGGAAUUCCCAGCGUAGCGGUGAAAUGCGUAGAUAUUGGGAGGAACACCAGUGGCGAAGGCGGCCUGCUGGACAUUAACUGACGCUGAGGCGCGAAAGCGUGGGGAGCAAACAGG